Molecule: long non-coding RNA, 321 nt
Organism: Oncorhynchus keta (chum salmon)
Lineage: Eukaryota; Metazoa; Chordata; Actinopteri; Salmoniformes; Salmonidae
Exons: 4
Source: RefSeq, a predicted model, not a curated record
AAGCAUUUCACUGUAAGGUCUACACUGUUGGUUAAGGGCUUGUAAGUCAGCAUUUCACUGUGAGGUCUACACUGUUGGUUAAGGGCUUGUCAGUCAGCAUUUCACUGUAAGGUCUACACUGUUGGUUAAGGGCUUGUCAGUAAACAUUUCACUGUAAGGUCUACACUGUUGGUUAAGGGCUUGUCAGUCAGCAUUUCACUGUGAGGUCUACACUGUUGGUUAAGGGCUUGUCAGUCAGCAUUUCACUGUGAGGUCUACACUGUUGGUUAAGGGCUUGUCAGUCAGCAUUUCACUGUGAGGUCUACACUGUUGGUUAAGGGC